AGAGUUUGAUCCUGGCUCAGGACGAACGCUGGCGGCGUGCCUAAUGCAUGCAAGUCGAACGAACUCGACCUUCGGGUCAUAUGAGUGAGUGGCGAACGGGUGAGUAACACGUGAGAAACCUGCCUCGAAGUUCGGAAUAACUCAGGGAAACUUGAGCUAAUACCGGAUGCCCCCUACGAAUCGAAUGGUCUGUAGAGGAAAGAUUUAUCGCUUCGGGAGGGUCUCGCGGCCUAUCAGCUAGUUGGUGAGGUAACGGCUCACCAAGGCAUUGACGGGUAGCUAGUCUGAGAGGACGAAUAGCCACACUGGGACUGAGACACGGCCCAGACUCCUACGGGAGGCAGCAGCAGGGAAUCUUGCACAAUGGACGAAAGUCUGAUGCAGCGACGCCGCGUGGGGGAUGAAGGCCCUAGGGUCGUAAACCCCUUUCAGUAGGGACGAAAAUGACGGUACCUACAGAAGAAGGUCCGGCCAACUACGUGCCAGCAGCCGCGGUAAUAAGGGCGAAUUC
RNAcentral lists this ribosomal RNA (511 nucleotides) under uncultured bacterium. RNAcentral's name for it is "bacterial SSU rRNA". It matches the Rfam family "Bacterial small subunit ribosomal RNA", at positions 8 to 536 of the family's 1533-position model. The record is from RNAcentral.